AACGAACGCUGGCGGCGCGUCUUAAGCAUGCAAGUCGAGCGGCAAGUCGUAGCAAUACGGCCUAGAGCGGCGGACUGGUGAGUAACGCGUGGGUGACCUACCCUAAGGUUGGGGAUAGCCAUUAGAAAUAGUGGGUAAUACCGAAUAUGGUUGGAGCGCUAUGGCGCUCUAAAGAAAGGGGCUUCGGCCCCGCCUUGGGAUGGGCCCGCGUCCCAUUAGCUUGUUGGUGAGGUAAGAGCCCACCAAGGCGAUGAUGGGUAGCCGGCCUGAGAGGGUGAACGGCCACACUGGGACUGAGAUACGGCCCAGACUCCUACGGGAGGCAGCAGCUAAGGAUAUUCCGCAAUGGACGAAAGUCUGACGGAGCGACGCCGCGUGGAUGACGAAGGCCGAAAGGUUGUAAAACCCUUUUGUUACUGAAGAAUAAGCGGGGGAGGGAAUGCCCUCGUGAUGACGUUAGGUAACGAAUAAGCCCCG
RNAcentral lists this ribosomal RNA (477 nucleotides) under uncultured Treponema sp. RNAcentral describes it as "bacterial SSU rRNA". It matches the Rfam family "Bacterial small subunit ribosomal RNA", at positions 29 to 495 of the family's 1533-position model. Lineage: Bacteria; Pseudomonadati; Spirochaetota; Spirochaetia; Treponematales; Treponemataceae. The record is from RNAcentral.